Long non-coding RNA from Asterias rubens (European starfish), 1905 nucleotides. RefSeq lists it as uncharacterized. Lineage: Eukaryota; Metazoa; Echinodermata; Asteroidea; Forcipulatida; Asteriidae. The transcript has 4 exons. The record is from RefSeq and is a predicted model, not a curated record.
UGUCUGUCACACAGAGCCGAAGUGAUGUCUUAAGCUGUCAUUAUUGAAGCCAAGUGUCCAGCAAUCUUCCCAGUGACAACUCAUUCAACUUCAUGUUUCAGAUGAAGUGAUCCAAUUGGAGGUUGUCAGAUCAUCAGUCAUAGUGGCUGUCUGUCCCACAGAGCAGAAGUGUCGCUCAAGCUACUGAAGUCUUGUUUCAAGCAAUCUGCGAAUAUAUAAACCCAUUCAACUUCAUGUUUUAAGAUGAAGUGAUCCAAACAGGGAUGGUCAGAUCAUCCAGUCAUAGUGGCUGUCUGUCUCACAGAGCAGAAGUGAUGUCUCAAGCUGUCAUUAUUGAAGCCCAGUGUCCAGCAAUCUUCCUGAUGACAACUCAUUCAACUUGAUGUUUACAGAUCAAGUAAUCCAGACAGAGAGUGUCAUAUCUUCACAAGGAGUUCCUGCCAUCCCCAGCACAGAUGUUGCAACCUUUAUGGAGUUUGUAUUUAGUUGUAGGUCUUUAUUACAGGGGUGGAUCAUAAAGUUUAUGAUUGUGUGGUGAAUUGCUCACACUUACUCUUGUGUGGUGAAUUGCUCACACUUUCCCUCGUGUUGGGAAUUUCACGCACUUCCCCUUGUGUAGGAUUUCUGGCACGUCCACUUUGCUAUGGUGGUAAAUUGCUCACACUUGCCCUUGUGUGGUAAAUUAUCAAGUUUACUUACUGGAAUGUUGUCUAAGGCUUAGUUCGAAGACUGUUUCUUCCCUUAGUUAUAGUGUCUUGAGUCACUGGCACUUCCCUUGGUGUCGUGGGUUACUGACACUUCCCUUUGUGUCGUGAGUUAUUACACUUCCCUUUGUGCGGUGAGUUACCGACACUUCCCUUCGUGUCAUGAGUUACUGACACUUCCCUUUGUGCGAUGAGUUUUGACACUUUCCUUUGUGUCAUGAGUUACUGACGCUUCCCUUUGUGUCAUGAGUUAAAGACACUUUCAUUUGUGUCGUGAGUUACUGACACUUUCAUUUGUGUCCUGAGUUACUGACACUUCCCUAUGUGUCAUGAGUUACAGAAACUUCCCUUUGUGUCAUGAGUUACUGACACUUCCCUUUGUGUCUUGAGUUACUGACACUUCCCUUUGUGUCAUGAGUUACUGACACUUCCCUUUGUGUCAUGAGUUACAGACCAUUUCCUUUUUGUCAUGAGUUACAGACCAUUUCCUUUUUGUCAUGAGUUACAGACACUUUCCUUUGUGUCGUGAGUUACUGACACUUCCUUUUGUGUGGUGAGUUACUGACACUUCCCUCUGUGUCGUGCCCUUUCGGUGUUGAGUUACUGACACUUUCCUUGGUGUCGUGAGUUACCGACACUUCCCUUUGUGUCGUGAGUUAUGCAUACUUUCCUUGUAUGGUAACCACUUUCACAUACUUUGACUAGUGUUUAGAUUUCCCCUUGAGUUUAGAAACAUUAUUCCCUUUCCCACUCAAAGGUUAAUGAUUCAGAUUCAUACAUGCCAAAUUCACAAAACAAAAUCUUCAAGAAAACCUUCCCUUGCAGAGAAUCAGGGCACUCUGAUUGUCUUCUUGGGACACAGUUUUACCAGUCAUAGAACACUCAGACUGAAACUGUACAAAGAAGUAUUAUUAAAUAAAUUGUUUGCAUAACUUUUGGAUGAAUAUAAUUGAAACCUUCCUUUGCGGAUAAUCAGGGCAAUCUGAUUGUCUUCUUGGCACACAGUUUUACUAGUCAGAGAGCACUCUGAUUUAAACUGUUGCAUGGAAUAUUUAACAAAACUCUUCAUUUCUUAUUUAUCUUGACAGUUGAUUUUUAUAGAAUAACAAUCAUUUCUGAAUCAUAUGUCUUUGUUUUACUUAAAAUAAAUGCUUGAGCUGCUCCUAUACCCACAAAUGAGACCAUUCAAAAGUGUAAAACU